CAGCCGCCGCGGUAAUACCGGCGGCCCGAGUGGCGGUCACUAUUAUUGGGCUUAAAGCGUCCGUAGCCGGGUUGGGAAGUCCUCCGGGAAAUCUGGCCGCUUAACGGUCAGAAUGCCGGAGGAUACUCCCAGCCUAGGGAGCGGGAGAGGCCGAGGGUAUUCCCGGGGUAGGGGGGAAAUCCUAUAAUCCCGGGAGGACCACCGGUGGCGAAGGCGCUCGGCUGGAACGCGUCCGACGGUGAGGGACGAAGGCCAGGGGAGCAAACCGGAUUAGAUACCCGGGUAGUCCUGGCUGUAAACGAUGCGGACUUUGUGUCGGACAAGCUAUGAGCUUGUCCGGUGCCGGAGGGAAACCGUUAAGUCCGCCGCCUGGGGAGUACGGCCGCAAGGCUGAAACUUAAAGGAAUUGGCGGG
This 414-nucleotide ribosomal RNA is filed under the name uncultured microorganism. RNAcentral's name for it is "bacterial SSU rRNA". It matches the Rfam family "Archaeal small subunit ribosomal RNA", at positions 459 to 872 of the family's 1478-position model. The record is from RNAcentral.